UGUAGGACAAAGAUGCAGAGCAGCUGGAAGGCAGGCAAGGCAGAACCCAGAAAGCACAGACAGAGAGGAAAGAGCUGCUUGCAGGACAUCUCUGUAUCAGAACAGACCUGCAGAUUGAGACACUACUAGGAAGAGCCAUGAGAGUUCAACCUUGUCAAGAUGGUGAAAUGAUUUGUCUCUUAUGGAUCUGUCAGAUGCUAGGCAGGAAACCAGGCCAUCUGGGUUAGGCUUGGCUCUGCUACUAACCAGCUGUGUGAUCCUGCGCAUGGCUCUUUACCUCUCAAACCUAUUUCUUUACCCAUAGAGGCUGCAUUGAGGGUCCUGCCCUCAGGUAGAGUUCCCCACACAUGGCGCAGGACUCUCCCAGUGACUCAUCCCUACCUUUAUUUCUACUUCACUGAGAAAAUGAAAGCAAUGCGAAGAGAACUGAAGAGAACUGAACCCAGGACUGAAUCUUAGGGUACUUCAGCAUUAAGAGUCCUGGGUCCUUUUCCCUUUCUGUCAUACUCACUCCCCUAUGACUUCAUCCAGUCUCAAGACUGUAAAUACGGACCUCCCUAUGCUGAAGACCUCCAAACAGAUAUCUGCAGACCAGCCUCCAGAAUGCCUACUCAACAUCUUCCUUUAGAUGAUAGAUUUUAAGUUACGCAUGUUCAAAAUGGAAUUCCUAACUGUCAAAUCUGUUCCAUGCUACCUUCUCCAUCGAAAUUAACAGCAACUCCAUACUUCUUUUGCUAGGGGCCAGAAACUUGAGUCAUUCUCAACUUCACUUUCUCUCUUAUCUUUCAUCCAGUUGUCCAUGGAAAUCUUGCUGGUUUACCUUCAAGAUGUAUCUAUCAUCUGCCCAUGUCUCACCACCUCCAAUGCUGCCACGACGUCUGGACCAGCAUGAAUGCCUGGCCUCAACCUCCCGGGCUCAAGCCAUCUUCCUGCCUCAGCCUCCCAAGCAGAUAGGACUACAGUUGCACAAGAGCACUGAGCUGACAAUACUUUCUGAUAAGUCUUCCUGCUUCCACCCUUACCCCCCAUAUUCUGUUUUUAAUAUGCAGUUACAGUUUUAAAAUGGAAGUCAGAUCAUGUGAUGCCUCUGCCAACCUAGCAAGGAGUGAUUCAUUUCGCUCCCAGUAAAGGCCAUAGUCUUUCUAACACCCUACACAGCCUGCACAGCGGCUGCCCAUCAUCUCUGACCCCCUCCUCCUCUUGCCCUCUCACACUGCCUGGCUGUAGUGGGCUCAGUGCUAUAACGCACCUCUGCCUGAAGGCCUUUGCUCUAGUCUUCCAUCUCUCCAAAAGCUCCUCCUCACAGAUCCAAGUGCCCAACCCUUACCCACUUCAAAUCUCAUCUUCUCAGUGAGGCCUCCUCUGACCAGCCUUUCCUCACCCCCUCACCCCACUCUACUUUUUCUUUUCCCAACACACAUACCAUCCUAUAACAUUCUCUGUAAUUUACUCGUGGAUUGCUUAUUGUCUGUCUCCCUCCAUUAGAAUGUAAGCUCCAAGGCAGGGAUCUUUGUCUUUGUUCACUGAUGUAUCCUAUGCCCCUUAAACAGUGCCCAGCACAUGGUAGACGCUCAAAAAAAAGUUACUGGAUAAGUGACUUUAGUGGACACACUUUUGUUUUGUUUUUGAGAUGGAGUCUCGCGCUGUCACCCAGGCUGGAGUGCAGUGGUGCGAUCUCGGCUCACUGCAAGCUCCGCCUCCCAGGUUCACACCAUUCUCCUGCCUCAGCCUCCCG
RNAcentral lists this long non-coding RNA (1735 nucleotides) under Homo sapiens (human). RNAcentral's name for it is "HSALNT0003179". Lineage: Eukaryota; Metazoa; Chordata; Mammalia; Primates; Hominidae. The record is from RNAcentral.